Molecule: ribosomal RNA, 929 nt
Filed under: uncultured Staphylococcus sp.
Lineage: Bacteria; Bacillati; Bacillota; Bacilli; Caryophanales; Staphylococcaceae
Description: partial 16S ribosomal RNA
Source: RNAcentral
UCCCCGUCAAAUCAUUUGAGUUCAACCNUGCGGUCGUACUCCCCAGGCGGAGUGCUUAAUGCGUUAGCUGCAGCACUAAGGGGCGGAAACCCCCUAACACUUAGCACUCAUCGUUUACGGCGUGGACUACCAGGGUAUCUAAUCCUGUUUGAUCCCCACGCUUUCGCACAUCAGCGUCAGUUACAGACCAGAAAGUCGCCUUCGCCACUGGUGUUCCUCCAUAUCUCUGCGCAUUUCACCGCUACACAUGGAAUUCCACUUUCCUCUUCUGCACUCAAGUUUUCCAGUUUCCAAUGACCCUCCACGGUUGAGCCGUGGGCUUUCACAUCAGACUUAAAAAACCGCCUACGCGCGCUUUACGCCCAAUAAUUCCGGAUAACGCUUGCCACCUACGUAUUACCGCGGCUGCUGGCACGUAGUUAGCCGUGGCUUUCUGAUUAGGUACCGUCAAGACGUGCAUAGUUACUUACACAUUUGUUCUUCCCUGAUAACAGAGUUUUACGAUCCGAAGACCUUCAUCACUCACGCGGCGUUGCUCCGUCAGGCUUUCGCCCAUUGCGGAAGAUUCCCUACUGCUGCCUCCCGUAGGAGUCUGGACCGUGCCUCAGUUCCAGUGUGGCCGAUCACCCUCUCAGGUCGGCUACGCAUCGUUGCCUUGGUAAGCCGUUACCUUACCAACUAGCUAAUGCGGCGCGGAUCCAUCUAUAAGUGACAGCAAAACCGUCUUUCACUAUUGAACCAUGCGGUUCAAUAUUUUAUUCGGUAUUAGCUCCGGUUUCCCGAAGUUAUCCCAGUCUUAUAGGUAGGUUAUCCACGUGUUACUCACCCGUCCGCCGCUAACGUCAGAGGAGCAAGCUCCUCGUCUGUUCGCUCGACUUGCAUGUAUUAGGCACGCCGCUAGCGUUCAUCCUGAGCCAGAAUCAAACUCU